RNAcentral lists this ribosomal RNA (387 nucleotides) under Chaetoceros sp. Its description in RNAcentral is "partial small subunit ribosomal RNA". It matches the Rfam family "Eukaryotic small subunit ribosomal RNA", at positions 582 to 975 of the family's 1831-position model. The record is from RNAcentral. Lineage: Eukaryota; Bacillariophyta; Thalassiosirophyceae; Chaetocerotales; Chaetocerotaceae.
AUUCCAGCUCCAAUAGCGUAUAUUUUAGUUGUUGCAGUUAAAAAGCUCGUAGUUGAAUUUCUGGUGGGAAGAUGCGGACGGCCUCAUGGCUUGUUCCAAGUCUUCCGGCCAUCCUUGGGUGGAGCUCGUCUGGCAUUAAGUUGUCGGGCGGGGGAUGCCCAUCGUUUACUGUGAAAAAAUUAAAGUGUUCAAAGCAGGCUUAUGUCGUUGAAUAUAUUAGCAUGGAAUAAUAAGAUAGGACAGCAGUGCUAUUUUGUUGGUUUGCGCACCGUUGUAAUGAUGAAUAGGGACAGUUGUGGGUAUUUAUAUUCACUUGUAAGAGGUGAAAUUCUUAGAUUAAGGGAAGAUAAACUACUGCGAAAGCAUUUACCAAGGGUGUUUUCAUUA